Molecule: ribosomal RNA, 768 nt
Filed under: Marinobacter sp.
Lineage: Bacteria; Pseudomonadati; Pseudomonadota; Gammaproteobacteria; Pseudomonadales; Marinobacteraceae
Description: bacterial SSU rRNA
Rfam family: Bacterial small subunit ribosomal RNA
Source: RNAcentral
UGCAGGGCGCAGCUUACCAUGCAGUCGAGCGGUAACAGGGGUAGCUUGCUACCCGCUGACGAGCGGCGGACGGGUGAGUAAUGCAUAGGAAACUGCCCAGUAGUGGGGGAUAGCCCGGGGAAACCCGGAUUAAUACCGCAUACGUCCUUCGGGAGAAAGCAGGGGAUCUUCGGACCUUGCGCUAUUGGAUGUGCCUAUGUCGGAUUAGCUGGUUGGUGAGGUAAUGGCUCACCAAGGCGACGAUCCGUAGCUGGUCUGAGAGGAUGAUCAGCCACAUCGGGACUGAGACACGGCCCGAACUCCUACGGGAGGCAGCAGUGGGGAAUAUUGGACAAUGGGGGCAACCCUGAUCCAGCCAUGCCGCGUGUGUGAAGAAGGCUUUCGGGUUGUAAAGCACUUUCAGUGAGGAGGAAAAGUUAGUCCUUAAUACGGGCUAGCCUUGACGUUACUCACAGAAGAAGCACCGGCUAACUCCGUGCCAGCAGCCGCGGUAAUACGGAGGGUGCAAGCGUUAAUCGGAAUUACUGGGCGUAAAGCGCGCGUAGGUGGUUUGAUAAGCGAGAUGUGAAAGCCCCGGGCUUAACCUGGGAACGGCAUUUCGAACUGUCAGGCUAGAGUGUGGUAGAGGGUAGUGGAAUUUCCUGUGUAGCGGUGAAAUGCGUAGAUAUAGGAAGGAACACCAGUGGCGAAGGCGGCUACCUGGACCAACACUGACACUGAGGUGCGAAAGCGUGGGGAGCAAACAGGAUUAGAUACCUCUGGUAGUCA